ACUGUACUCCCUUCGUCCGAAAAUACUUAUCAUAAAGAUGUAUCUAAAACUAAAAUACAUCUAAAUACAUUCCCUUUUAUUCAUUUUGAUGACAAGUAUUUUCGGACGUAGGAAGUAAAUU
Molecule: non-coding RNA, 121 nt
Organism: Triticum aestivum (bread wheat)
Lineage: Eukaryota; Viridiplantae; Streptophyta; Magnoliopsida; Poales; Poaceae
Source: Rfam